UUUAUAGUAAACCAAGAAUGUUUUUGUACCAAUCUCUUCCUGUCUAUCCUUAAUCUUGAUUCCCUUGCCGGUAACUUUAUAGUAUCCAGCCUUGGUUGUCCUGUGGUUUGGUUCUUGGCGACGACGAAAGAAAUACCACUCGCGAUCACUUGAGUCUACUCGCGAGAACUCUGCAAACGCAUGGUAACUCUAAAAAGAUAAUGGGGAAAGGGGAAGAAUGCACUCGGCAGAUAUACUUACGAGGUAAUUCCCAAGGCUCACAAUCAUUGAUAUUAAUCACAGGGAUUCUUGGAUCAUCAUAGCCUUGUAUUUUCGCCACCAGAAUUUGCAACAAUUCCUUGUCCUUUCGGCGAAUCAAUGGUCCAAGUGGAUCUGUUGCUUGCAUCUUUUCAAGUCACUAUAUGUAUAUUUGCACCUGCAAAAAAACUGUAUCUAUAAGAUAUCAAGAAGAAGAAGAAGCUAAGACAAGAAGACACUCGGUCACUCAAUUAUGCAGCAAAAUAUUUCAUUCUACUUGAUAAAAUGGGAAGCAAAAGGAGAGAGAGAGACUGAAAAUUAAUUGCAUACAAGAAAUGAAAGAGGAACUGAAUUGAGAGUUAUAGAAGUAGUGCGUAUGUCUUUUUUAUACAGAAACAUGCCAUGCCUCUGCUUCAAAGAGAAGCUAUGGCCUAUCACCUGUUUAUUUUAUAAGCUAGAAAUUUUAUUAAAAAGAUAAGAAAAAUACAUAUGGUCUAUCACUUGUUAAGUACAGUGAAA
RNAcentral lists this unclassified non-coding RNA (756 nucleotides) under Hevea brasiliensis (rubber tree). The record is from RNAcentral. Lineage: Eukaryota; Viridiplantae; Streptophyta; Magnoliopsida; Malpighiales; Euphorbiaceae.